RNAcentral lists this long non-coding RNA (417 nucleotides) under Phasianus colchicus (ring-necked pheasant). Its description in RNAcentral is "lncRNA (ENSPCLG00000007931.1)". The record is from RNAcentral. Lineage: Eukaryota; Metazoa; Chordata; Aves; Galliformes; Phasianidae.
GGAAGUGUGAUGUCAGGGAGCUGGGGAGACUGUUUCAGUCAGCUGCCCACGAGAGGAGAGGACAGCAGCUGCCUGGCUGGCAUUGAGGGCUGCACUAAAUAACUUUGGAGUAAGUGCAGAUGGAGUAGGACAUGAAAAGUACAACUUCUUGCUGAAUUGCACAGCUACCCUUGACCUGGCUGUCUUGCCCAACAGACUGUUACUGCUUCUGUUGUCAAGAGACGUCUGUGGCUGCAGAAGAGUCCAGGAUUUGUCUGUGAUAGAAUGACUACAAGUGACCCAGUUCCACAGCAUACACUUGGCCAAUGCCAAACAUGACUUUUGUUGGAACUUGGCUUUUGCGUGCAAAAUAAUUUUGUCUUUAGUUUUUGGUGGUGUUAUUGGGGGAGCAUCAAUAUUUUGCUUGUUAGACACAUU